This 3855-nucleotide long non-coding RNA is filed under the name Olea europaea subsp. europaea. Lineage: Eukaryota; Viridiplantae; Streptophyta; Magnoliopsida; Lamiales; Oleaceae. The record is from RNAcentral.
CAAUUCCCUGCAGAUAUUUCCUAUUUCAGUUCCCGCGUCCCGUCCCCCACACACAGUCACACAGAAUGGCAGCGGCAGUGAAUUGCUACCUCUCAGUGACUUCAACAGCCACACCCACAUCUCAAGAUUCUCCACAGCCAACAAUCACUAGGCCGCCGACCAAGAUCAUACUGCCCAAUAAAAAGCCUAUGAAAUGGUCUACAGGGGUGGCUCCGGGUGAGUAUGGGGGCCCACCCACCACAACGAAGCUCAGGAAAUACUGGGGUGGAGAUGAGGACCCUCUUGCCUCUGAUGAAUACUUGUGGAACAAAGACUUCAUGGGUCGAAUGAAAAAGUUCAUUCAAGACCCCGUCGAUGUCGACACUAAUUCUGACCCUCGAUUCUCAUCUGCGAAGGUCCAGUAUUUGGCCAAUUGAUUAUUUUUGGUUUGUCAUUAUCUGGGUUUUUUUGAGUGAUUUAUAUUGUGGGUUUUAUUUUUGCUGUUGCUUUUGUAUGAGAAAUUAGUAAAAAUGGGGAUUUUUUGAGAUUUAUUGUUUUGGAAUUUGGAACUUGGAUAAUACUGCUUGUUGAACAUUGUAUAGGGAUGUCUAGGGUCAUUUUUUCCCCUUCUUUUCACAGAGAAUUUCUAGAAUGUUCUGCUUGUCUAAUUAAUUGACUGUUCUACGAAGUACUGCUGAUCUAAUUUUGCGGUUUCAUUCCGAAACUGUUUGUUCUGAUUUUACCACAGAUCGAAUUUUUAUUGCUUUUAGUUGAUGAAUAUAUUGUCCAGGUAUCAGCACUGAAUUUGAUAAAUUAUACUGUUUUGGUAUGUUUCUGAACAGGAAGAGCCUUGUGGAUUUCUUAGCUUGAACAGAGUGAUGAGCUUGGACAGGUGCACAACCUUUUAUUUUUGGAAAUUGUUAUUUUAUUUUGUCUUGAAUUCCUAUACUGCUUUCCCGUGUAAUAGUCCCACUCUUUGAGGAUGCAGUUUGGAAAUUGACUUGAGCAAAGAGUUAACAGCGACUUCAAGAUCUGCGGUUGAACCACGAGUUGAAGAAAUUCAAGUGUGACAGAUUUUAAGUUCCCUUUGAAAAAAUGGUCUGUAAAACUAGUUUGCAUUUGUUAUUUUCCAUACUCAUCAGGAUUGAAAUAAUUUGUAGAGUAAUAGCAUUGCUUCUCGAAAAUGGAGACCAGCCCCAACACGACGUGAGCUAGAGAAGUGGGACAGAGCUACUAAAGCUGCAACUGGAGGCAGUGUAUGUAGUUUCAUUUUGGAUAUACAAUUUUCUUCUCAUCUUAUAUGCUUAAACUUCUGUUUGUUUAAAACAAAUUGCUGAUUUUCGAGCUGAAUAUAUAUAUUGUAUUUUUUAAGAAAUCCUUUUACGUUAAUCCAAGUUUUCUUGUUCUGCAGGAAGUGAUGUUUAGGGAAUCAAAGCGUCCCAGAGGGGACCCAGAAGUGUUGGCUGCUCAGUCAAGGGAACAGUACUAUAAGGUUUUUUGAAGAAAAUAUUAGCUUCUACAUCCUUAAGAUCUUUAGUUGGAAGUUCCAAUCUCUCCUUUUAAUGUUUUUGCAGUUGAAGAAUAAAUUGCAGUUCCUCACACUGGGCAUUGGUGGUGUUGGUGUAAUCUCAGCGUAUUGUUCUUAUUCUCCAGAAAUUGCAGCAAGGUAAGCACCUUACUAGGAUGCGUUUCAGAAUUUUUGUAUGACUACUACUUCAACCUUGUGAAAUUAAUCUGCAUUAUAUAGAUGAUUUGUGAAUGAGAUGGGAUGUUUGACAUCUGGGAAACUACUACUUUUUGCAUUAACCAUCCUUUGCAAAUGACUUGUUAUUUGAAACCUCAAUUUAUUUUUAUUUUUAUUUUAGUUAUUAUUAUUAUUAUUAUUUUUUUAUUUAUAUUUAUAUUUUUUGUGGAUUGGGCUUCUCUUUACAUUUCUGAUUGAUCACAUAAUCAGGUGCAGACAAAUCCUUCUUAUGUUGACACUUACUCGCUGGAUCAUUUUCCGUAUAGCAGUAGUUCAUAAAGAUAUUCUGUCUGCCAGUAUGUAAUCAUAAUUCUUUUCUGUUCAGCUAUGGUGCUGGAUUGCUUGGUUCUUUGGCAUACAUGCGAAUGCUUGGAAAAACCGUUGAUUCUAUGGCAGAUGGAGCAAAAGGACUCGUCAAGUAUGUCUUUUUUUACUCCUUCAUGGGUUUCAAAAUCUUGAGAUAAUGGAUCUUAUAUGUACAUACUAUAAUGUUAAUUUAGUUGCCUCUGGUUUCAUGUAGAAUUUCUUAUUUAUGAAGUUUCUCUUUGAUGAAGUGUAGUUCUUUGUGACUGAAAAAUGCAUAUUUAAUUGAUGAAAUUUAGUUUAAUUGCUGAGCAGAACUAAAUUUAUAUUUCCUGUCAAAAAUUAAAUUUAUUGCAUACCUAAAUGAUGUAAUAUAGUUUGCUGUGUACCUAGAACCCCUUGUACGUCUGGACAUCUCUGGUAUAACAACUACUUAACUGGUAUAUGUGAUGCUUUUCUGACUAUUGGUGAAGUUUACGAAAUUGCAAAUUAUAAUAUCAGGUUUUUGAAGUAUGCCUGCUUCAGCUUUUCAGUGUAACCGGACACUUCUAUCGUAGACAACAAACGAGUUUUUUCCUGCUUAUUUCAUCUCUCUCUCUCUCUCUCGUGAGUACCAAUCAACUGAAUAGCAUACCAACCGUAACAAGUUUGGUUGGAGAAAAUAAAUCUUGUGAUGAGCUUUAGAAGUACUUAAAUGCCAAAUAUAAACCAGGCCUGUCUUGGUGAAAGGCCAAUUGGUUCUGACAUUUAAAUAUGACCUGCAUUUUACCUUCUGCAUCUUGAUCCUGACAAAUUAUAUCAAGUUAGAUCUUAUGGACGUAGUCAUGUGAUGUCCUACACUGAACAAUUGUAUUUUUGCAUCAUCAAGGAUGGCCUUGUUACUGCUUGAUGUCAACAUUGAAUGAAUUUUAUUAAGCGCCUAACCAUGACUGCUGUAGAACUACUUUAUGGCCAAAAUUCAAUUAGUGGUGUAACUGGACACAAUCCUCUUGCUUUUUGCUGAGAUUGACAUUUUUGAGGCAAAAUUUUGAACUAUUUCUUUUAUUGUAGUCAUAAUUCUUUUCCCAUGGUUUUCCCUUUUCCCAAGUACAAGUGAAAAAUAAGGCAACUACAGGUCCAUGAAGAAAUUUUAUGGAAAUGUUUACAAUUACAAAGGCAACAAGAACCUAAGCUUCUUUUACGUUGAGUUUUAGGUCGGUCACAUGAAUCCUUCGAACUUAAGGCUGUCCCACAUGUUUUUGGUUUUAUUAAGUUUGUGCUAUGAAGUUGAGUCAUUUCAUUGUGGACGUUCUAUAUUUGGAAGAUCAAAGAUGACCUAUUAGGAUCCUCCUGGUUUGCUCAUCAGAACUUUUUACUUGCAGGGGAGCUAUUGGGCAGCCAAGGCUAUUGGUUCCUGUUGGCUUGGUCAUGUUAUAUAACCGGUGGAAUGGGUAAGAACUUGAGAAAAUGCAUAUGUUCAUUCAAAUAUAUCUUUAUCAUUUUGAAUAAGUUCUUGGAUUAUAGUUUGGUAUCUCAUUAGGUGAUUUGUAUGCAGGAUUUUGGUUCCGGAUUAUGGAUUCAUGCACCUCGAGUUGAUACCAAUGCUGGUGGGAUUCUUUACGUACAAGAUUGCCACUUUUUUCCAGGCUAUCGAGGAGGCAAUAACUGUGGCUAGUGGAAAAACACAAGCUUAAUUUGGCUUAUUUAGUUCUAUAUACAUUUCAUUCAUAUUAGUUAUUACUGAUGGUGGAAAAACUCAGAUAUAUGUAUAUGUGAUGUUUUAUUCAUGUUAUUUUCCUUCAGUUAAAAAAAAAUAAUAAUAAUAAAAUAAAUUUGCUUUUCUUGGUAGC